Non-coding RNA from Gymnothorax javanicus (giant moray), 85 nucleotides. The record is from the annotation of a GenBank genome assembly. Lineage: Eukaryota; Metazoa; Chordata; Actinopteri; Anguilliformes; Muraenidae.
GCUGGGUUAGCUCACUUGGUUAAGGCGCUGCAUUUGAAGAGCAGUAGUGACUACCAAGGCGCGGGUUCGAUCCCCGGUCGUACCA